GGCUUCGUAGCUCAGCCUGGUAGAGCACUGCCCUCUUAAGGCAGGUGUCGUGGGUUCAAAUCCCAUCGAGGCCA
This 74-nucleotide transfer RNA is filed under the name Nanobdellota archaeon. RNAcentral describes it as "tRNA-Lys". It matches the Rfam family "tRNA". From Rfam's summary of the family: Transfer RNA (tRNA) molecules are approximately 80 nucleotides in length. Their secondary structure includes four short double-helical elements and three loops (D, anti-codon, and T loops). The record is from RNAcentral. RNAcentral also lists the same sequence under 3 other names. Lineage: Archaea; Nanobdellati; Nanobdellota.